Molecule: transfer RNA, 63 nt
Filed under: Rattus norvegicus (Norway rat)
Lineage: Eukaryota; Metazoa; Chordata; Mammalia; Rodentia; Muridae
Rfam family: tRNA
About the family: Transfer RNA (tRNA) molecules are approximately 80 nucleotides in length. Their secondary structure includes four short double-helical elements and three loops (D, anti-codon, and T loops).
Source: Rfam by way of RNAcentral
GGGGAUUUAGCUCAGUGGUAGAGCGCUUGCCUAGCAAGCGAAAGACCCUAGGUUCAGUCCCCA